The sequence is a ribosomal RNA, 865 nucleotides long. It matches the Rfam family "Eukaryotic large subunit ribosomal RNA", at positions 56 to 940 of the family's 3401-position model.
GAAAAGAAACCAACAGGGAUUGCCCUAGUAACGGCGAGUGAAGCGGCAACAGCUCAAAUUUGAAAUCUGGCUCUUUUAGAGUCCGAGUUGUAAUUUGCAGAGGGCGCUUUGGCGUUGGCAGCGGUCCAAGUUCUUUGGAACAGGACGUCACAGAGGGUGAGAAUCCCGUACGUGGUCGCUAGCCUUCGCCGUGUAAAGCCCCUUCGACGAGUCGAGUUGUUUGGGAAUGCAGCUCUAAAUGGGAGGUAAAUUUCUUCUAAAGCUAAAUACUGGCCAGAGACCGAUAGCGCACAAGUAGAGUGAUCGAAAGAUGAAAAGCACUUUGGAAAGAGAGUCAAAUAGCACGUGAAAUUGUUGAAAGGGAAGCGCUUGCAGCCAGACUUGCCUGUAGUUGCUUAUCCGGACUUUUGUCCGGUGCACUCUUCUGCGGGCAGGCCAGCAUCAGUUUGGGCGGUUGGAUAAAGGUCUCUGUCAUGUACCUCCUUUCGGGGAGGCCUUAUAGGGGAGACGACAUGCAACCAGCCUGGACUGAGGUCCGCGCAUCUGCUAGGAUGCUGGCGUAAUGGCUGUAAGCGGCCCGUCUUGAAACACGGACCAAGGAGUCUAACAUCUAUGCGAGUGUUUGGGUGUCAAGCCCAGACGCGUAAUGAAAGUGAACGGAGGUGGGAACCUUUUAGGUGGACCAUCGACCGAUCCUGAUGUCUUCGGAAGGAUUUGAGUAAGAGCAUGGCUGUUGGGACCCGAAAGAUGGUGAACUAUGCUUGAAUAGGGUGAAGCCAGAGGAAACUCUGGUGGAGGCUCGCAGCGGUUCUGACGUGCAAAUCGAUCGUCAAAUUUGGGCAUAGGGGCGAAAGACUAAUCGAAC